Non-coding RNA from Phrynosoma platyrhinos (Desert horned lizard), 72 nucleotides. The record is from the annotation of a GenBank genome assembly. Lineage: Eukaryota; Metazoa; Chordata; Lepidosauria; Squamata; Phrynosomatidae.
GCCAUAAUGGCAUAAUGGUUUGAGUAUCGGACUACAACUCCAGAGACCAGGGUUCAAUUCCCAGCAUUGCCA